GGCGGACGGGUGAGUAACACGUGGGUAACCUGCCUGUAAGACUGGGUUAACUCCGGGAAACCGGGGCUAAUACCGGAGCUUGAUUGAACCGCAUGGUUCAAUUAUAAAAGGUGGCUUUUAGCUACCACUUACAGAUGGACCCGCGGCGCUUUAGCUAGUUGGUGAGGUAACGGCUCACCUAGGCAACGAUGCGUAGCCGACCUGAGAGGGUGAUCGGCCACACUGGGACUGACCCACGGCCCAGACUCCUACGGCAGGCAGCAGUAGGGAAUCUUCCGCAAUGGACGAAAGUCUGACGGAGCAACGCCGCGUGAGUGAUGAAGGUUUUCGGAUCGUAAAACUCUGUUGUUAGCUACGAAGAACAAGUACCGUUCGAAUAGGCGGUACCUUGACGGUACCUAACCAGAAAGCCACGGCUAACUACGUGCCAGCAGCCGCGGUAAUACGUAGCUGGCAGCGUUGUCCCGAAUUAUUCGGCGUAAAGCGCGCGCAGGCGGUUUCUUAAGUCUGAUGUGAAAGCCCCCGGCUCAACCGGGGAGGGUCAUUGGAAACUGGCGAACUUGAGUGCAGAAGAGGAGAGUGGAAUUCCACGUGUAGCGGUGAAAUGCGUAGAGAUGUGGAGGAACACCAGUGGCGAAGGCGACUCU
Molecule: ribosomal RNA, 647 nt
Filed under: uncultured bacterium
Lineage: Bacteria
Description: bacterial SSU rRNA
Rfam family: Bacterial small subunit ribosomal RNA
Source: RNAcentral